AUGCCCCUUAUGCCUUGGGCUGCAAACGUGCUACAAUGGUAGGUACAAUGUGUCGCAACCUAGCGAUAGGGAGCUAAUCACUAAAUCCUAUCUCAGUCCG
Molecule: ribosomal RNA, 100 nt
Filed under: Candidatus Mycoplasma aoti
Lineage: Bacteria; Bacillati; Mycoplasmatota; Mollicutes; Mycoplasmatales; Mycoplasmataceae
Description: partial 16S ribosomal RNA
Rfam family: Bacterial small subunit ribosomal RNA
Source: RNAcentral